AUUGAACGCUGGCGGCAUGCUUUACACAUGCAAGUCGAACGGUAACAGGGAGCUUGCUCCGCUGACGAGUGGCGAACGGGUGAGUAAUGCGUCGGAACGUGCCGAGUAGUGGGGGGAUAACGCAUCGAAAGGUGUGCUAACACCGCAUACGAACUGAGGUUGAAAGUGGGGGACCUUCGGGCCUCACGCUAUUCGAGCGGCCGACGUCUGAUUAGCUAGUUGGUGAGGUAAAGGCUCACCAAGGCGACGAUCAGUAGCGGGUCUGAGAGGAUGAUCCGCCACACUGGGACUGAGACACGGCCCAGACUCCUACGGGAGGCAGCAGUGGGGAAUUUUGGACAAUGGGCGCAAGCCUGAUCCAGCCAUGCCGCGUGUCUGAAGAAGGCCUCGGUUGUAAGGACUUUGUCCGGUAGCGAAAUAACCCACGUAGCUAAUAACGACUGGGGCGUGAGAGUACCGGAAGAAUAAG
Molecule: ribosomal RNA, 469 nt
Filed under: uncultured bacterium
Lineage: Bacteria
Description: bacterial SSU rRNA
Rfam family: Bacterial small subunit ribosomal RNA
Source: RNAcentral